Molecule: ribosomal RNA, 372 nt
Filed under: uncultured bacterium
Lineage: Bacteria
Description: bacterial SSU rRNA
Rfam family: Bacterial small subunit ribosomal RNA
Source: RNAcentral
GACGAACGCUGGCGGCGUGCUUAACACAUGCAAGUCGAGCGGUAAGGCCCUUUCGGGGGUACGACGAGCGGCGAACGGGUGAGUAACACGUGGGUGACCUGCCCUCAGCUCUGGGAUAAGCCUGGGAAACCGGGUCUAAUACUGGAUAUGACUCCAUGACGCAUGUUGUGGGGUGGAAAGCCUUGUGCGGCUGAGGAUGGGCCCGCGGCCUAUCAGCUUGUUGGUGGGGUGANGGCCUACCAAGGCGACGACGGGUAGCCGGCCUGAGAGGGCGACCGGCCACACUGGGACUGAGACACGGCCCAGACUCCUACGGGAGGCAGCAGUGGGGAAUCUUGCGACAAUGGGCGAAAGCCUGACGCAGCGACGCCG